GGGGUUAAGUGACUUGCCCAGGGUCACACAGCUAGUAAGUGUCAAGUGUUUGGUCUGAGGCCGGAAAGUGACUUUUUGCUUUAUCUUUAAAAGCUUCCCAAAAAGAUAUGGAACAUACCUCUUUAUCUGGGGCCAGAUGGUCAGUUUUGGAGAGAUUGAUCCCCACCUCUAAAUGAAAAGCAGAAGAAAAAGUCAAGUAGAGACGGGAGAUAACUUUGGAUUUCAAGUCAAAAGGUCUGUGUCCUUGGGCACAUCACUUACCCUCUCUGGACAUCAUUUUCUCCAUCUGAACAAUCAAGGCAAAUUGUAUGAUCACUAAUGCAUCUUCUGACUCUAAGUUCCAUGAUUUUAUUGAGUUGAAAAUCCAUGGAGAAUGUCGAAGGAACCAAAGUUCUUGACUUUGUUGUGGCCUAAAGUAUGUUAUAAAGACUAAAGAUGGUAAGUCUGGAAAAACAGAAUAGGGAUAAGAACUAGAUGUAUGAUUUUAUUAAUGGUAUAGACCAGCACUUCAUAAACUGUGGGUAAUAACCCCAAAUGAGGUCACAAAAAUUUGGCAAAAUUAAAAGGCUUCUGAGUGAACAAUGACCAAAAAUUAAUUCAAAAUCAAAUGUGUAAUGCAUGUGAGGUGUUUUUGGCAACACUUGCUUGUGCAUCUUGCAACUUCAGUACAGCCUUGGUUCUAAACACAAAGCAUGCACACUUCUCACCGUGCAUGACAUCAGGCCAAGCAACACCAAGAAAGCUACAGCAACAAGAAAAGGAGUCCCUAGUGGAGAAAAUUUAAGAAGCCCUGGUAUAGACAAUUCCUGGAUGAGGAAAAGCCAUCUCAUUAAGAAAGAAGACUACAAAGCUCAUCACAUUAGCUCUUUCUAAGCAAUGCAAACCAGUCCAUCCAGCUGUUCACUCACCAGGAAACAAGAUCAUCUAAUCAGAAAAGAGCUCACAGCAAAAGAGCUUAAGUUGAUUCUUUGGUCAAAACAAACCAGCUUAACCAUUUCUUCACUCCCCAAGAUUCUGUGGCAUCCAAUUACAUUUCAACAUCUCUUCCUAUACAGAACAGCAGCUGGAAAGUCUGUCUUUCCUUUUUUUGCUUUCCCCUCUCAAAUCAAAAAGGACAGCAAUGAAGAACAGGCACUUCUGAAAGUCUGCACCUUUCUUAAGUGAUGGGAUGCAAGUCUCGGUAGAAAUGGGACUGAAAGACAAUAGCUUGACCUCCAGCCAAUCAGAAACUGGAAAAUAAAACCCUAUUGUGAGUUGAUUGUCUCUGCUUUUGGUUUCUUCAGAUAGUUCUGAGGAAGACAUUUUUUGUCUCACUGAUGAAUUUUCCUUUGCUAUAGUUCUUUAAUCUCUUUGGCCCAAGCCUUGGGUUCUAUCUCAUUCUAUUUCAAUGACUUAAAACAAGGCCUCAGUCAUUUACUUUCUGAGUAACUCAGUGAUUUACCUUUCAUUUAUGAGACAAAACCUAACCACAUUUUCUUUAUGAAAUUGACAGUCCUUAUUUGAUUAUCCUUCAGUCUCUAAAAAGUUAUAUGAAAAUAAAUUAUAUUAGUUUUGCCCUCUGCUUUUAAAAUAGUUACAUAUAAAUUCCUUAGUCAACCAUAAAGUCUUGGAUUUCUAAAUUCUCAAAAUGAACCUCCAUGUCAUUCUACGUCCUUGAAUUUGAGUUUCAUUGUAUUUCCAUAGUGUAAUUUUUCCCCUAUUUUUUCUUUUUCUUUUUGGGGUGAAGU
This is a non-coding RNA of Phascolarctos cinereus (koala), 1727 nucleotides long. The record is from RefSeq and is a predicted model, not a curated record. NCBI's taxonomy places the organism in Eukaryota, Metazoa, Chordata, Mammalia, Diprotodontia, Phascolarctidae.